GGAGAAAAGCAGGGGAUCGCAAGACCUUGCGCUAAAGGAGCGGCUGAUGUCUGAUUAGCUAGUUGGUGAGGUAAAGGCUCACCAAGGCAACGAUCAGUAGUUGGUCUGAGAGGACGGCCAACCACACUGGGACUGAGACACGGCCCAGACUCCUACGGGAGGCAGCAGUGGGGAAUUUUGGGCAAUGGGGGAAACCCUGAUCCAGCCAUGCCGCGUGAGUGAAGAAGGCCUUCGGGUUGUAAAGCUCUUUCAGCCGGAACGAAACGGUUACGGUUAAUACCCGUGACUACUGACGGUACCGGAAGAAGAAGCACCGGCUAACUACGUGCCAGCAGCCGCGGUAAUACGUAGGGUGCGAGCGUUAAUCGGAAUUACUGGGCGUAAAGGGUGCGCAGGCGGUUUUGUAAGUCAGAUGUGAAAUCCCCGGGCUUAACCUGGGAAUUGCGUUUGAAACUACAAGGCUAG
RNAcentral lists this ribosomal RNA (465 nucleotides) under Nitrosospira sp. YKU28. Its description in RNAcentral is "bacterial SSU rRNA". It matches the Rfam family "Bacterial small subunit ribosomal RNA", at positions 198 to 644 of the family's 1533-position model. The record is from RNAcentral. Lineage: Bacteria; Pseudomonadati; Pseudomonadota; Betaproteobacteria; Nitrosomonadales; Nitrosomonadaceae.